GACGAACGCUGGCGGCGUGCUUAACACAUGCAAGUCGAACGGAAAGGCCCUGCUUUUGUGGGGUGCUCGAGUGGCGAACGGGUGAGUAACACGUGAGUAACCUGUCCUUGACUUUGGGAUAACUUCAGGAAACUGGGGCUAAUACCGGAUAGGAGCUCCUGCUGCAUGGUGGGGGUUGGAAAGUUUCGGCGGUUGGGGAUGGACUCGCGGCUUAUCAGCUUGUUGGUGGGGUAGUGGCUUACCAAGGCUUUGACGGGUAGCCGGCCUGAGAGGGUGACCGGCCACAUUGGGACUGAGAUACGGCCCAGACUCUUACGGGAGGCAGCAGUGGGGAAUAUUGCACAAUGGGCGGAAGCCUGAUGCAGCAACGCCGCGUGCGGGAUGACGGCCUUCGGGUUGUAAACCGCUUUCGCCUGUGACGAAGCGUGAGUGACGGUAAUGGGUAAAGAAGCACCGGCUAACUACGUG
Molecule: ribosomal RNA, 468 nt
Filed under: uncultured bacterium
Lineage: Bacteria
Description: partial 16S ribosomal RNA
Rfam family: Bacterial small subunit ribosomal RNA
Source: RNAcentral